Molecule: unclassified non-coding RNA, 514 nt
Filed under: Hevea brasiliensis (rubber tree)
Lineage: Eukaryota; Viridiplantae; Streptophyta; Magnoliopsida; Malpighiales; Euphorbiaceae
Source: RNAcentral
CGAGUUUGUUCAAUGGGUGAAACACAUAAAAUUUGUGUCUAUUAUGAUUAUACUUUCACUAGAGCAUAGCCAACAAACGAAUCCGAACUAAAUCCAUCAACAAUAGCCGCAACAAUAUUCUAAGCCUUGCUUCCCAUAAGCGUAAGCUCCAGGUCGAUGCGGUGUAGACGAGCCCCAGGAGCAAACCGUUGUUUCUCGUUUCUUGGUUGGAAAGGGCAGAGUUCCAUUUGGUGGGUGGGUCUAGGGCGAACGAAAGAGACGUGUGGCUGAGGGCAGGUGAGGCAUUGUGUCAAAACUAGUGGCAGUUGAUGUAACAAAAUCAUAAGUUAUCAAGAUGAAGAUUAGCUCUUUUUGCUCUCCAAUGGCGGGGCAAAGUGCAAAUGGCCUGCAAAGAUGAGCCAUUGUCAGAGAAUAUGGCAUUAAAGAGGACAAGAUCGGGUUUUGGGAUGGAUAAGAAGAUAAAACCUGCGUGAGAAGUGGAGUUGAAGUCGAAGAGCUUGUGGUUGUACUUGUG